GUCUAUGGCCAUGCCACCCUGAACAAGCCCAAUCCUGUCUGAUCUUGGAAGCUAAGCAGGGUCAGGCUUGGUUAAUACUUGGAUGGGAGACCAGGUGCUGUAGGCA
RNAcentral lists this ribosomal RNA (106 nucleotides) under Pteropus alecto (black flying fox). The record is from RNAcentral. Lineage: Eukaryota; Metazoa; Chordata; Mammalia; Chiroptera; Pteropodidae.